AUGUCUCUCCCUCUUUUUUCCCCCUCCAUCUCCCCUCUCACUUUUUUGCGCUCUCUUUCUCUCCCCCCCCCUUUCCUCUUUCUCUCCCCCCUCCCCUCUCUCUCUCUCUCUCUCUCUCCCCUUGCCUCUUUCUCUCCCCACUCCUCUCUCUCUCUCUCUCCCCUUUUCUCUUUCUCUCCCCCCUCCUCUCUCUCUCUCUCUCUGUUUUCAGAGACUACAUCUGCCUCCAGACCUGUCAGAGACAGUGAGUCGUGUGAGCCGGGGAGAGCUGACAGGGACAGCCAUGGUGGGCUCCUCAGGCUGUGGCUCCGGCUCCACUGGCAACAGACAUCUGGACUUCUAGAACCCCACUCACCAUCAUCGCCGCUGGCAACAAACAUCUGGACUUCUAGAACCCCCUCACCAUUAUCACCGCUGGCAGCAAACAUCUGGACUUCUAGAACCCCCUCACCAUUAUCACCGCUGGCAGCAAACAUCUGGACUUCUAGAACCCCCUCACCAUUAUCACCGCUGGCAGCAAACAUCUGGACUUCUAGAACCCCCUCACCAUUAUCACCGCUGGCAACCAACAUCUGGAUUUCCAGAACCCCCUCACCAUUAUCACCGCUGGCAACAAACAUCUGGACUUCUAGAACCCCCCUCACCAUUAUCACCGCUGGCAACAAACAUCUGGACUUCUAGAACCCCCCUCACCAUUAUCACCGCUGGCAACAAACAUCUGGACUUCUAGAACUGCUGGGACUCUUUCGCCAUGGCAACCCAUUACCCAUGGUUACUCUGCAGACUGUUACACCACUGUCACAUUGUCAACUGUUUCCCUGCCAACUGUUUUCACCCGCCAAUCUUUUCCCUUCAACUGUCCAAGUGGCCUAGCAGCCUCCUUCCUUCCUUUCCUAGGACACUUUGACAUUUGAUAUUUUAGUAAAUGCUAUUGUCUAGAGCGACUUACAAUACCUGUAUUGAAGUAAGGAGGCAGCGACACGCCAUCCAAGCCCCUCUAUGUAACUCUGUCAUCUUGUUGUGACUGGGCCUGUCUCAGAGAGAGAGAGAAGGUGGGGGAAUCAUUUCAACGGGAUAUCUGUAAUGAAACACAAGAUACACCUUUCUGCUAUUUCACCAUCCUGCUAUUUCACCAUCCUGCUAUUUCACCAUCCUGCUAUUUCACCAUCCUGCUAUUUCACCAUCCUGCUAUUUCACCAUCCUGCUAUUUCACCAUCCUGCUAUUUCACCAUCCUGCUAUUUCACCAUCCUGCUAUUUCACCAUCCUGCUAUUUCACCAUCCUGCUAUUUCACCAUCCUGCUAUUUCACCAUCCUGCUAUUUCACCAUCCUGCUAUUUCACCAUCCUGCUAUUUCACCAUCCUGCUAUUUCACCAUCCUGCUAUUUCACCAUCCUGCUAUUUCACCUUUCUGCUAUUUCACCAUCCUGCUAUUUCACCAUCCUGCUAUUUCACCAUCCUGCUAUUUCACCAUCCUGCUAUUUCACCAUCCUGCUAUUUCACCAUCCUGCUAUUUCACCAUCCUGCUAUUUCACCAUCCUGCUAUUUCACCUUUCUGCUAUUUCACCAUCCUGCUAUUUCACCAUCCUGCUAUUUCACCAUCCUGCUAUUUCACCAUCCUGCUAUUUCACCAUCCUGCUAUUUCACCAUCCUGCUAUUUCACCUUUCUGCUAUUUCACCAUUCAAUCAAAGGCAUGUUGAAAAUGUGUUUUUUGAUAAGUUGAAUAAAUGUGUAUAAAUCCAUAUCUCCAUGUUUCAUAGCCUGUUUUCUAGCUUAUUUAGAACUCUGGAGGUUUCUAUCGUAACACCCAUAUUCUCCACAGAUCUUUUCUGUCUGGUUUGUUCCCUAGUAAUGGUUGAGGUGAGCAUUUGGAUAGGGCAAGCUGAUCUUAGAUCUGUAGUUAGGAGCAACCAGGAGUAAAGGGUUGGAUGUGGGCGCAGGCUUCACAGCUCAUCAGGUCUGUUAUCUGGAUGGGCGGCUCUGCUAUGACAAGACCAAAACAACAAAUGAGGUCAGAUGGUGACAUGGAGAAAGACUGAAUAUACAGCAUGUAAAAUAAAACAUGUCACUGUGUUUCUCUUCUGCGGUUGGUGUGGAUGUGUUGCUUUAUGAGGUGUGUGUGUGUGUGUGUGUGUGUGUGUGUGUGUGUGUGUGUGUGUGUGUGCAUUUCCCCCAAGUAAUUCACAUUUACUGGUGUAAGGUCACUAGGUCAUUCUUUAAAGAUCAAGCUAUGACUUCAUACAAGGUGGUCAGAGAUUUGUGACGCAAUAAAUAUGAUGUAUGGCCUCUGGAGUGUUUGGUAAAAGUGAUUUUGUAGAUGUGAAGUUUUUUGAAAGGCUAUCGAUAGCAGCAAUGGAACCCGGAGGCCUUCUAUUGCAAGUAAUCUAAAAUAUUAAACUAAGCUUGUUGUUUGGGUCUGUCUGUAACAUGCACACAUGUUGUCCCAGCUCAUAUUUCAGUUGACACAACCUUAUUUGACUCCAGGGGAACUUGUAUUGGUCAUGUAGAAAGGGUGAGCCCUGCAUUAUGCAUCCUAGGGGUUACGUAAAUCUCCUUAUGGAGGGGGGAGAGAGGCUGAAAUCGUCUGGCUCUGCCUGCGUACAUUUACUUUAAUGCACGCAACUAUAGUUCUCUGUGUGAAGUGACUACAGUGUCUCAAUCUAGGUGCCCUACUUAAAUCACAUGACUGUGUUCCUGUACUGUAAUCCCGGGGUGAGACUAACUACUUUAAAAUGAAUACAACCAAAUGGAAAGUGUGGGAAUGAUCAUGGACCUACAUUCACACAGAUUCUUGAUUGUGUCCAGCUCACUAAUAAUCACCCAAAUGAAAGCUAGACAGUCAGGCAGUAUCAAACAUUUAAGAAAAAUAUGGAUAGAGGAAUAUUUUUGUGCCAAUUUUGACAGCGAGGAAAUAUAACACAUGUUCACUGUGGACCUCUGGACCUUGUGGACGACCAAAUGGGAAAUAUAAGGUGUUAAAAAAUAUAUAUGUAUUUCACCUUUAUUUAACCAGGUAGGCCAGAUCACCUUUAUUUAACCAGGUAGGCCAGAUCACCUUUAUUUAACCAGGUAGGCCAGAUCACCUUUAUUUAACCAGGUAGGCCAGAUCACCUUUAUUUAACCAGGUAGGCCAGAUCACCUUUAUUUAACCAGGUAGGCCAGAUCACCUUUAUUUAACCAGGUAGACCAGAUCACCUUUAUUUAACCAGGUAGACCAGAUCACCUUUAUUUAACCAGGUAGGCCAGAUCAUCUUUAUUUAACCAGGUAGGCCAGAUCACCUUUAUUUAACCAGGUAGGCCAGAUCACCUUUAUUUAACCAGGUAGACCAGAUCACCUUUAUUUAACCAGGUAGGCCAGAUCACCUUUAUUUAACCAGGUAGGCCAGAUCACCUUUAUUUAAUCAGUAUACCAAGUAUAAGGUUGUUAAAUAUAAGGUGUUGUUAAGUAUAAGGUGAUGUUAAGUAUAAGGUUGUUAAAUAUAAGGUGAUGUUAAGUAUAAGGUGAUGUUAAGUAUAAGGUGAUGUUAAGUAUAAGGUGUUGUUAAAUAUAAGGUGUUGUUAAAUAUAAGGUGAUGUUAAAUAUAAGGUUGUUAAGUAUAAGGUGAUGUUAAAUAUAAGGUUGUUAAGUAUAAGGUUGUUAAAUAUAAGGUUGUUAAGUAUAAGGUUGUUAAAUAUAAGGUGAUGUUAAAUAUAAGGUUGUUAAGUAUAAGGUGAUGUUAAAUAUAAGGUUGUUAAGUAUAAGGUGAUGUUAAGUAUAAGGUGUUAAGUAUAAGGUGAUGUUAAGUAUAAGGUGUUAAGUAUAAGGUUGUUAAAUAUAAGGUGAUGUUAAAUAUAAGGUGAUCUAAAUUGCCUUAAAAUCUAAGAAAUGUAAGCUGACGUGUAAUGUAAUGUUACCUGGUAUCUCCUAUCUGGGUGGAGUUCUAAUGAACACAUAUACAGGCUUGUGUUGUGUUGUCCAUUUCAGGUCGUCCAACCUUUCUCUUUGUUCACACAGUAUCUUUCUCAAACAGGUCAAGUUGUGAUUCAUGCAUCACCUCCUUGGAUCCCCCUCCUCU
Long non-coding RNA from Oncorhynchus mykiss (rainbow trout), 4054 nucleotides. Lineage: Eukaryota; Metazoa; Chordata; Actinopteri; Salmoniformes; Salmonidae. The record is from Ensembl.